This 1835-nucleotide ribosomal RNA is filed under the name Triticum aestivum (bread wheat). RNAcentral describes it as "partial small subunit ribosomal RNA". Lineage: Eukaryota; Viridiplantae; Streptophyta; Magnoliopsida; Poales; Poaceae. The record is from RNAcentral.
CUCUUUUGUUUGCUUGUUUUCCUUUCCCCGUGCUUUAUUUGUGGGGCACGAAGGGGAGAGGAGGCGCUAGGGGGAGAGGGGAGAGGAGAGGCAGCGGCGGCGAGCGGCGACUCAGGGGUCGUGGCGGCGCCGGGGAGGGAGACAAUUGAACUCUGAACCCUCCACGAAGAACUAGACCUCGACACCCGCCAACGGAGCGCAGGUCUAACUAGUACUCGAGGUCUUCGGAGCAGGCUAGGGGCCAUAGGACAUCACGACAUUUGCUUACGAAAAGGAUGUUAAGUGCGGCGGGUUCUUCGAUGAUAGUCAUAAGAUUAUGGUACUUCGAUGUCUGUGGCGUUCGACCGGUCUACGAAAACGGAGCGUUUAAUACCUUUAGAUGAGCUAACGUCUGGUGGGAAGAGUAGGUCUCCGCCUGACAUAGUUUGACAACGAGACUGGAAUCAUGGUGAAUGUGUCUCGUUGAAGGGUCGAUAAAUCGUGAAUUACAAAACGUUCUGGUUAGUUUACGCUUUGUUUUGUUAUAAGCAUUUCAGGAACAGUAGGACUUAGGAUUAAGACCUAAGGCAUCGAGAGCACUCCAAAAGAUGUUCUUUCACGUUAGUUGUGACUUCGAAAGUCCGAAGCGCUACCUCCAACAACUUUGUCGUAUACGACCAGUACGUUUCCACGAACGAAGAUGACAACUGGAGUCAUGUACGGGACUACCGUAAUAGACACAACCCCCACUACCUCAGCAUUUACUCCAACACUUACCAAAUGAACCAUCUCUGCUAAACUUUCUCCGCGAAGUUGAAGGAUAACCAUAUCAAGGACGACCAAGGCUAUUAAGUAAUCAUACCUCACAAGAACCGUAGUCCCUAGGACACAGUCGUCGUUGACGAAAUCGAUUCCCACCAAAGUGUGGCUAACUACACAAACGACAUUUUACCUAGGUUCGACCUCAAUGAGUAAAGCCAAACUGCCGAAGGAUGACACCAAAACAUCGACUACAAGACGUUAAUAGACUUUUGAAGGCGGACGUCGAACCCGGGAAGGCAAUGCAGUAGCGACCGUAAGAAUUCAAAAACAGGGACGGGGUUAUGUUUAAACUCCACCUAAUAGACGGAAAUAGUGGUCUCUUUUUAGGAUUGAACCUCAGUGGCUAACUUUUUACGGUACCGGUCGAAAGACUACUGUCGUUCCAAUUCUCACCAUGAAUAUACCUAUCAUCGUGACCUCUAUUAACCCAAUUCUCCUUUCCCCUCAAAGAACCGUAAAACCAGACGUUGGUGAAGACGUUCGGACGGGUCCCCAAUAAAAGAGGUCAACAACGUGGUUUUCGAGUCGUACUACUACCGUCAGACCUGAACUAAGAACAUGUACCUUCACCUUCUGAGUCUAAUAAAACGAAGAAACAACGGAUAGUCAAAACGACCGUAGAAGAUGAGGGAAAACACCUUAUACAGUUCCAUUUUGUUCAUUUCUAAUCCGGUCACCCGUCAUGGGUGUCACCAACACCACAGCUGCCGCUCGAAGAAGUCCGCCUUCCGGUUGGUCUUACCGUCACGAGAGACGAGGGUCAUGUUCCGGCCAACGAACCGGCCGUAGGGUCUUGUAUCUUCAUCCAAACACUGAGUAGGUCUUCAGCACGACUGUCAAGGCUCGUUAUGAUGUUACAUGGGUAAUUUAAUUCACCAAUUGUUUCAUAACAACGUGACAUUUUUACACAGAAGAAGGUAAUAAAAGUGGGUAAGAGAAUUCCAACAUCUAGACGUCUACUUGAGGUCCAAACAUCCGGGGGUAACUACCCGUUCACAUAUAAGGUCCUUUUCACUCCGAAGGAAGAGAAGAAA